GAUGCUAACUGUUUGUGGUAUCGACCCCAUGAGUAGCGAAGCUAACGCGUUAAGCAUCCCGCCUGUGGAGUACGGUCGCAAGACUAAAACAUAAAGGAAUUGACGGGGACCCGCACAAGCGGUGGAGCGUGCUGUUUAAUUCGAGGGUAAACGAAGAACCUUACCCAGACUUGACAUCCUGCGAAUUUCUCCGAAAGGAGAGAGUGCUUUAUUGAACGCAGUGACAGGUGCUGCAUGGCCGUCGUCAGCUCGUGUCGUGAGAUGUAUGGUUAAGUCCAUUAACGAGCGCAACCCCUGUAAUUAGUUAAAUUGUCUAAUUAGACCGCCUUGGUAACAGGGAGGAAGGAGGGGAUGACGUCUAGUCCGUAUUGCCCUUACGUCUGGGGCUACAAGCACGCUACAAUGGCUGGUACAAAGGGUAGCCAAAUCGCGAGAUGGAGCAAAUCCCAUCAAAACCAGUCUCAGUUCGGAUAGCAGGCUGAAACUCGCCUGCUUGAAGUUGGAAUCGCUAGUAAUGGUAGGUCAGCUAUACUACCGUGAAUACGUUCUCGGGUCUUGUACACACCGCCCGUCAAGCCAUGAAAGUCGCUAAUACCUGACGUA
RNAcentral lists this ribosomal RNA (603 nucleotides) under uncultured bacterium. RNAcentral describes it as "bacterial SSU rRNA". It matches the Rfam family "Bacterial small subunit ribosomal RNA", at positions 812 to 1428 of the family's 1533-position model. The record is from RNAcentral.